UCGAGGGGCAUCAUGAGGUAGCAAUACCUUGAUGGCGACCGGCGCACGGGUGAGUAACGCGUAUGCAACCUGCCCGAUACCGGGGUAUAGCCCAUGGAAACGUGGAUUAACACCCCAUAGUACUUUUAUCCUGCAUGGGAUGUGAGUUAAAUGUUCAAGGUAUCGGAUGGGCAUGCGUCCUAUUAGUUAGUUGGCGGGGUAACAGCCCACCAAGACGAUGAUAGGUAGGGGUUCUGAGAGGAAGGUCCCCACAUUGGAACUGAGACACGGUCCAAACUCC
This 280-nucleotide ribosomal RNA is filed under the name uncultured bacterium. RNAcentral's name for it is "partial 16S ribosomal RNA". It matches the Rfam family "Bacterial small subunit ribosomal RNA", at positions 62 to 339 of the family's 1533-position model. The record is from RNAcentral.